RNAcentral lists this ribosomal RNA (390 nucleotides) under uncultured Chrysophyceae. RNAcentral describes it as "partial small subunit ribosomal RNA". It matches the Rfam family "Eukaryotic small subunit ribosomal RNA", at positions 30 to 432 of the family's 1831-position model. The record is from RNAcentral. Lineage: Eukaryota; Chrysophyceae.
GCUUGUCUCAAAGAUUAAGCCAUGCAUGUCUAAGUAUAAACAACUUUAUACUGUGAAACUGCGAAUGGCUCAUUAUAUCAGUUAUAGUUUAUUUGAUGGUCCUUGCUACUUGGAUAACCGUAGUAAUUCUAGAGCUAAUACAUGCAUAAAACCCUAACUUCUGGAAAGGGUGUAUUUAUUAGAUGGAAACCAAUGCGGGGUAACCCGGAAUAUGGUGAUUCAUAAUAACUUUCGGAUCGAUUUAUCGAUGCAUCAUUCAAGUUUCUGCCCUAUCAGCUUUGGAUGGUAGGGUAUUGGCCUACCAUGGCUUUAACGGGUAACGGAGAAUUAGGGUUCGAUUCCGGAGAGGGAGCCUGAGAAACGGCUACCACAUCCAAGGAAGGCAGCAGG